This 458-nucleotide small RNA is filed under the name Pan troglodytes (chimpanzee). RNAcentral's name for it is "retained intron". Lineage: Eukaryota; Metazoa; Chordata; Mammalia; Primates; Hominidae. The record is from RNAcentral.
UCCAUCUGUGGUUGGCCCCAAAGGCUUGGUUCUUUUUCUUUACUCUGUUUUUCUCUCUAUGUAGAUCAGGCACAACCUCUCAGAAGUGCUUCUUGCCACCAUGAACAUCUUGUUCACACAGUUUAAGAGGCUGAAGGGGACAAGUCCAUCCUCGUCAUCCAGGCCCCAGCGAGUCAUCGAGGACCGCGACUCUCAACUCCGAAGUCAAGCCCGCACCCUGAUUACCUUUGCUGGAAUGAUACCAUACCGAACAUCUGGGGACACCAAUGCGAGGCUGGUGCAGAUGGAGGUCCUCAUGAAUUAAGUGCCAUGCUUUGGGGGAGUCUGGGUCGGCACACUGUCAGUACAUCAGGCACAUGGGCCCACUAGGCUGGGGUUUCUGGUUUUGUUUCUGUUGUGUUUUGUUUUGGUUUCUGUAUUAUGUAUUUUUGUCAACACCAAUAAAUUUCUUUGAUUUG